UGUGUGUGACUUAUAUGUUUUACCCUGGAUCUCAACGAUUCGGUGCAUGAAAUUUUGUUGCAUAGAGAAAAUUGAAAACAUACUCCUUGACUUUAUUCAAUUAGCUUUUCCAUGUUCCAAGCAACGUAAGAAAUUGAACGUUAAUGCAGCAGUCGUAUUUAGGACUACCACGGUUGCAACGAGUAACGAAGAAUCAGGGUUCGAUUUCGCAGAGGGAGCCUGAGAAACGACAACCACAUCGAAGGAAGGCA
RNAcentral lists this ribosomal RNA (251 nucleotides) under Glossina morsitans morsitans. RNAcentral describes it as "eukaryotic small subunit ribosomal RNA". It matches the Rfam family "Eukaryotic small subunit ribosomal RNA", at positions 192 to 427 of the family's 1831-position model. Lineage: Eukaryota; Metazoa; Arthropoda; Insecta; Diptera; Glossinidae. The record is from RNAcentral.